GCGAGACUCCAUCUGAAUAAACAAAAAAAAACCCCAAAAAACAAAAAAACAAUGUCAUGGUAUUAGUUAAGGCAAGUGAUAUUCGCUACCAUAACAAAAAUCUCUAAAAAUCUUAUGGCUUAAUAUAAUUAGAAUGUACUAUUUGCCCCGGAGAAUUCAGACAGAUGUUUGUUUCUGCUCUAGUCACUUUCCAUAUAGUCAUUCCAAGUCCAGUCUUCUUCCAUCCUGUGGCUCCGACUUCUUCCAAGACCUUAAAAUCCUUUCUCCUUCCAGCAGAUGCAGAAGGAGAGAAUGUGUGGAGGAUUAUGUAGAAGGAUUUCACGAGCCUGGCCUGGAGAGGACACAUCACUUCCAACUCCAUUCCAUUACCAGAGCUUAGUCUAUUUCCAGAAGAUUAUAAGCUUCAUGGGGGUAGAUGCUUUACUUCAUUCAUCACUGCAUCUCCAACGCCUAGCACAGAGUCCUGAAUUACAGGCUCAAUAACUAUUUACUGAAUGUGAAAACAGAGCUGCUUGAAGAUAUAUGAGGCUAAUUGAGCUUGUGCAUUUGUUGGCUAUUGCUGCUACAGUGGAUGCUGUUGUUCAGUAUUCAGAUAUCAAGAAACAACUAGCCAAAGUAAGGAGGAACGAGGGGCCCAUGAAGCUCAGUAGAGCUUGUGAUAAUAUUUGCAAGAGAAGACUACCUGCCAAACUAACUUCAGAAAAGGUGUUUCUGGUUGAAAUCGUCGUGCCCAACAUUCCACCAGGUUCCUCACAUGUUGAAUACAUCAAAGCCUACUCCACCCAUCUGGAAUGGACAAGCAGAAAUGACUCACUGUGUUUUCCAAUUGCACUCAAGACCUGUCUCCAUAUGCCCUCCUCCUCUGCUUGAGCAGAAGGUGAAAGAGGUUGUGUUGACUGUGGAAUUUGGCCAUUGAAUCUUGAAGACAAAUGCUCUUUGACUUCACUACAACAUCAGAGGGCACUUGGCCAAGGAAGACUAGUUAGAACCAGCCUUUUUGCAAACACAGCUGAGGUUUUUAUCCUGUCUUUUCUUCAUCACAAAAGUAGCAUGGAGAAUAAUGGACAAUAGAGUUCAAGUGGAGCAAGAACUGUCCAGAAUUUGGGGAAGAAGUCACAUAUCAGUCCUGGCCAUGAUAACUGGGGCACAUGUACUAUAUCCAAGUUGAUAUCCUUAAUUUGGGGAAAGUUUUCUUGCCUUUCCCACAGCCUCCCAAGCCAUUGACAAUUCCCACAUUCAAAACAUUCUCAUUCACAUUUCUGAUUCACUUUGGGCUACAGGAACAACAGAUGUUGAGUACUUCUAGGGAGCAAAUCCAUUAUAGAUGGAGGUAGGUCUUGCAAACAGAGAGGUAGAGAGCUUUCUCGAGACCUUUGGACCAAGCAGAUAACAUCACAAGGUGUACCUUAUGCUAAGUGCCUGAUCUCUAAGACCCUCCACCAGCGUCAGAGAGACAGCAUGCUCACAACAUGACAGCUGGUCAUACAGGUGAAGAAGAACAUGAAGACCAGCCCACCCCUGAAAAUGACAGAUCAAACUCAGCUUCACAAUGUCUCUUAUUCCAUCGCUAAUGGUGUUUAAAAACACACUUUGUCUUAAGGAACAAGGGGAACUGACCACGUGUUCAUGACGGUUCAUUUCUUACCCUCUGCUUUGGCUUGACCAAACUUUAGUCAGGUAUCUCUCCUCCACAAAGAUUCCUAGACUUUGGCUGUCCCCCAAGUUUAAGCAAGCACUGAAACACUAAGGAGCAGAACAUCUGUUAACAGCUCAUCCUGAAAAUCAACUGACCAUAGGAAAAAACACUCCCUAUUGAGAUAUCCUGGUUUUGCCACCUGCUCGCCCACACUCUAUGCCCUUCUCCUCCACAAAGGUCUGGCUGGUUCUUCUCCCUCCAUACAAAGGAAAAGCUUAUUUCUGUUUGAUUUUGAGACAUUUGCAGAUAUCUGAGGUUGGCAUGUUCUUCCUAUUGCAAUAGUCUUUUUGAGUAAAGUCUCUCUUUAUCUAAAAAAAAAAAA
Molecule: long non-coding RNA, 2018 nt
Filed under: Homo sapiens (human)
Lineage: Eukaryota; Metazoa; Chordata; Mammalia; Primates; Hominidae
Description: long independently transcribed non-coding RNA 2120 (LINC02120)
Source: RNAcentral